AAACUAUCGUCUUUGAAAUUGAGGUGUCGCAUAUAUUGUCUCCCAUUGUCAUUUCAUGGAUGAAAUCCAAAUGGGUCAUUCACAAGUUGAAUUCCCAUCUUCCCUCUUCGGUAAACUCUGUGCUGUCUCUAUUCGAAACGCAAAUCCACCAGGUCCCGUCUUCAAAGUCUUCAACUUUUGUCCUCAAUCACGUAGAUAUAAGCCUCCUCUUAUCUGUCUCUGGAAGGGAAGGUUACUUCCAUCUAGGUUCUUCCAUUCAUGCCUCCAUUAUCAAAAACCAUGAAUUUUUACUACUCCAGAACCAUUCCAUUUUCCGAAAUGUCCUUGUUAUUUGGAACUCUCUCCUUUCUAUGUAUACAAAAUGCGGGGUCGCUUGCGAUGCUGCUAAAUUGUUUGAUCAUAUGCCUAUGAGAGAUACUGUUUCAUGGAAUACAAUGAUUUCCGGGUUUUUAAGGAAUGGGGACUUUGAUACGGGUUUUGGGCUUUUUAAACAAAUGCGAGAAUCAGGUUUCUAUCAGUUGGAUCAAGCAACUUUAACCACGAUAUUAUCGGCUUUUGAUAGGCCUGAGCUUAGUUUUGCCAACAAAAUGAUACACUCUUUGGUGUUUUUAAAUGGUUUUGAGCGAGAAAUAACAGUAGGGAAUGCAUUGGUCACAUCAUAUUUCAAAUGUGGGUGUUCUAGUUUCGGGAGGCAGGUCUUUGAUGAGAUGCUUGAAAGGAAUGUUGUUACUUGGACAGCUAUAAUAUCAGGGCUAUCACAAAAUGAAUUGUUCGAGGAUAGUUUGAGGUUAUUUCUGAAAAUGCGUCAUGGAAUGGUAGAACCCAAUUUUUUGACAUACUUGAGUUCAUUGAUGGCGUGUUCUGGUUUGCAGGCAUUAGGGGAAGGGCGUCAAAUUCAUGGACUUGUAUGGAAAUUGGGAAUUCAAUCAGAUUUGUGCAUUGAGAGUGCAUUAAUGGACAUGUAUUCAAAAUGUGGAAGUCUGGAAGAUGCAUGGAGGAUUUUUGAAUCUGCAGUCGAGCUUGAUGAGGUUUCCAUGACUGUAAUUCUUGUGGGUUUUGCACAGAAUGGGUUUGAGGAAGAAGCCAUACAAUUUUUUGUAAAAAUGGUGAAGGCAGGAACUGAGGUUGAUCCAAACAUGGUUUCUGCUGUUCUUGGGGUGUUUGGUGUGGAUACCUCGUUGGGUCUUGGCAAGCAAAUACAUUCAUUGGUUAUAAAACGAAGCUUUGGUUCUAAUCGCUUCGUUGGCAAUGGGCUCAUUAAUAUGUACUCAAAGUGUGGAGAGUUGCAGGAUUCAAUCAAAGUCUUCAGUAAAAUGCCACAGAGGAAUUCUGUCUCCUGGAACUCUAUGAUUGCUGCUUUUGCUCGCCAUGGGGAUGGCUUUAGAGCACUGCAAUUGUAUGAAGAGAUGAGACAGGAAGGAGUAGAACCAACAGAUGUUACUUUUCUCUCAUUGCUUCAUGCUUGUAGUCAUGGAGGCUUAGUUGACAAGGGCAUGGAAUUCUUAAAAUCUAUGACUGAAGUUUUCAGAAUUAGUCCUAGAACAGAGCACUAUGCUUGUGUUGUUGACAUGUUGGGCAGGGCAGGGCUUCUCAAUGAAGCUAAGACUUUCAUUGAGGGGUUGCCUAUGAAGCCCGAUGUGCUUAUUUGUCAAGCUUUGCUUGGAGCAUGUAGCAUUCAUGGAAAUACUGAAGUGGGGAAAUAUGCAGCAGAGCAGUUGUUUUUAUUAGAACCCGACAAUCCAGUGCCACAUGUUUUGUUGGCAAAUAUAUACUCUAGUGAAGGUAGAUGGAAAGAAAGAGCAUGGACUAUUAAGAGAAUGAAAGAAAUUGGGGUGGUAAAAGAAACAGGUAUGAGUUGGAUUGAGAUUGACAAGAAAGUGCACAGCUUCGUUGUUGAGGACAAAAUGCAUCCCCAAGCUGUUAUCAUAUAUGGGGUUUUAGCAGGGUUAUUUAGACUUAUGAAAGAUGAAGGUUAUAAACCAGAUAAGAGGUUUAUUCUGUAUUACUUGGAUCAAGAUGUCAAGCACAACUAAUAAUAAUAGUUCUACUGCUUAAUACAUAGGGCUGUGAAUUUAACUUGUAGAGAAAUUA
This 2091-nucleotide unclassified non-coding RNA is filed under the name Hevea brasiliensis (rubber tree). Lineage: Eukaryota; Viridiplantae; Streptophyta; Magnoliopsida; Malpighiales; Euphorbiaceae. The record is from RNAcentral.